AGCGAACGCUAGCGGCGGGCCUAACACAUGCAAGUCGAGCGGAGGGAGCAAUCCUUCAGCGGCGGACGGGUGAGUAACGCGUAGGUAAUGUACCUUCUGGUGGGGAAUAACCGUGGGAAACCAUGGCUAAUACCGCAUAUCGUCCUUACGGAUGAAAGCCUUCGGGCGCCAGAAGAGCAGCCUGCGUCCCAUUAUUUAGUCCUAGUUGGUGAGGUAACGGCUCACCAAGGGUACGAUGGGUAGCUGGUCUGAGAGGAUGAUCAGCCACACUGGAACUGAGACACGGUCCAGACUCCUACGGGAGGCAGCAGUGGGGAAUAUUGCGCAAUGGGCGAAAGCCUGACGCAGCCACGCCGCGUGAGUGAUGAAGGCCUCGGUUGUAAG
This 384-nucleotide ribosomal RNA is filed under the name uncultured bacterium. Its description in RNAcentral is "bacterial SSU rRNA". It matches the Rfam family "Bacterial small subunit ribosomal RNA", at positions 29 to 429 of the family's 1533-position model. The record is from RNAcentral.